RNAcentral lists this ribosomal RNA (497 nucleotides) under uncultured bacterium. Its description in RNAcentral is "partial 16S ribosomal RNA". It matches the Rfam family "Bacterial small subunit ribosomal RNA", at positions 28 to 507 of the family's 1533-position model. The record is from RNAcentral.
GAUGAACGCUGGCGGCGUGCCUAAUACAUGCAAGUCGAACGCUGAAGCUUGGUGCUUGCACCGAGCGGAUGAGUUGCGAACGGGUGAGUAACGCGUAGGUAACCUGCCUCUUAGCGGGGGAUAACUAUUGGAAACGAUAGCUAAUACCGCAUAAAAGUCGAUAUCGCAUGAUAUUGAUUUGAAAGGUGCAAAUGCAUCACUAAGAGAUGGACCUGCGUUGUAUUAGCUAGUUGGUGAGGUAACGGCUCACCAAGGCGACGAUACAUAGCCGACUUGAGAGGGUGAUCGGCCACACUGGGACUGAGACACGGCCCAGACUCCUACGGGAGGCAGCAGUAGGGAAUCUUCGGCAAUGGGGGCAACCCUGACCGAGCAACGCCGCGUGAGUGAAGAAGGUUUUCGGAUCGUAAAGCUCUGUUGUAAGAGAAGAACGAGUGUGAGAGUGGAAAGUUCACACUGUGACGGUAACUUACCAGAAAGGGACGGCUAACUACGUG